GACGAACGCUGGCGGCGUGCUUAACACAUGCAAGUCGAACGGGUCUGCCCUGUUUUUUGCGGGGUGGGUCAGUGGCGAACGGGUGAGUAACACGUGAGUAACCUGCCCCUCACUUCUGGAUAACCGCUUGAAAGGGUGGCUAAUACGGGGUGUUCUGGCUGUGCCGCAUGGUGUGGCUGGGAAAGAUUCACUUUUGUGGUGUUUUGGUGGGGGAUGGGCUCGCGGCCUAUCAGCUUGUUGGUGGGGUGAUGGCCUGCCAAGGCUUUGACGGGUAGCCGGCAUGAGAGGGUGGGCGGUCACACUGGUGCUGAGAUACGGCCCAGACUCCUGCGGGAGGCAGCAGUGGGGGGUAUUGCACAAUGGGCGGAAGCCUGAUGCAGCGACGUCGCGUGAGGGAUGGAGGCCUUCGGGUUGUGAACCUUUUUCGCCGGUGAAGAAGGUCCUGCUCUUUGUGGUGGGGUUGACGGUAGCCGGGUUAUGAAGCGCCGGCUAACUACGUG
Molecule: ribosomal RNA, 500 nt
Filed under: uncultured bacterium
Lineage: Bacteria
Description: partial 16S ribosomal RNA
Rfam family: Bacterial small subunit ribosomal RNA
Source: RNAcentral